RNAcentral lists this ribosomal RNA (274 nucleotides) under uncultured bacterium. Its description in RNAcentral is "partial 16S ribosomal RNA". It matches the Rfam family "Bacterial small subunit ribosomal RNA", at positions 523 to 796 of the family's 1533-position model. The record is from RNAcentral.
CUACGGAGGGUCCAAGCGUUAUCCGGAAUCAUUGGGUUUAAAGGGUGCGCAGGCGGUUUAUUAAGUCAGUGGUGAAAUCUCGGGGCUCAACCUCGAAACUGCCAUUGAUACUGAUAAACUUGAGUUCAGUCGGAGUAGGCGGAAUGUGUAGUGUAGCGGUGAAAUGCUUAGAUAUUACACAGAACACCGAUAGCGAAGGCAGCUUACUAAACUGAUACUGACGCUGAGGCACGAAAGCGUGGGGAGCGAACAGGAUUAGAUACCCUAGUAGUCC